GGAGGAAUAUUGGUCAAUGGGCGGAAGCCUGAACCAGCCAUGCCGCGUGAAGGACUAAGGCCCUAUGGGUCGUAAACUUCUUUAGACGCAGAGCAAUAAGGGUCUCGCGAGAUCCGAUGAGAGUAUGCGUAGAAUAAGCAUCGGCUAACUCCGUGCCAGCAGCCGCGGUAAUACGGGGGAUGCGAGCGUUAUCCGGAUUUAUUGGGUUUAAAGGUGCGUAGGCGGAAGUGCAAGUCAGCGGUGAAAUCCCCGCGCUCAACGCGGGAGUUGCCGUUGAUACUGUACAUCUGGAAUGCUCUUGCCGUGGGAGGAAUGAGUAGUGUAGCGGUGAAAUGCAUAGA
This 341-nucleotide ribosomal RNA is filed under the name uncultured bacterium. Its description in RNAcentral is "bacterial SSU rRNA". It matches the Rfam family "Bacterial small subunit ribosomal RNA", at positions 355 to 694 of the family's 1533-position model. The record is from RNAcentral.